This 429-nucleotide ribosomal RNA is filed under the name Gemmatimonadota bacterium. RNAcentral's name for it is "Gemmatimonadetes bacterium partial 16S ribosomal RNA". It matches the Rfam family "Bacterial small subunit ribosomal RNA", at positions 355 to 776 of the family's 1533-position model. The record is from RNAcentral. Lineage: Bacteria; Pseudomonadati; Gemmatimonadota.
UAGGGAAUCUUCGGCAAUGGACGAAAGUCUGACCGAGCAACGCCGCGUGAGUGAAGAAGGUUUUCGGAUCGUAAAACUCUGUUGUUAGAGAAGAACAAGGACGUUAGUAACUGAACGUCCCCUGACGGUAUCUAACCAGAAAGCCACGGCUAACUACGUGCCAGCAGCCGCGGUAAUACGUAGGUGGCAAGCGUUGUCCGGAUUUAUUGGGCGUAAAGCGAGCGCAGGCGGUUUCUUAAGUCUGAUGUGAAAGCCCCCGGCUCAACCGGGGAGGGUCAUUGGAAACUGGGAGACUUGAGUGCAGAAGAGGAGAGUGGAAUUCCAUGUGUAGCGGUGAAAUGCGUAGAUAUAUGGAGGAACACCAGUGACGAAGGCGGCUCUCUGGACUGUAACUGACGCUGAGGCUCGAAAGCGUGGGGAGCAAACAGG